Molecule: non-coding RNA, 29 nt
Filed under: Rattus norvegicus (Norway rat)
Lineage: Eukaryota; Metazoa; Chordata; Mammalia; Rodentia; Muridae
Source: RNAcentral
CAGAAAUCAGUGUGGCCACUAGGUUCUGC